GAUGAACGCUGGCGGCGUGCUUAACACAUGCAAGUCGAACGGGAAUUACUUUAUUGAAACUUCGGUCGAUUUAAUUUAAUUCUAGUGGCGGACGGGUGAGUAACGCGUGGGUAACCUGCCUUAUACAGGGGGAUAACAGUCAGAAAUGGCUGCUAAUACCGCAUAAGCGCACAGAGCUGCAUGGCUCGGUGUGAAAAACUCCGGUGGUAUAAGAUGGACCCGCGUUGGAUUAGCUUGUUGGUGGGGUAACGGCCCACCAAGGCGACGAUCCAUAGCCGGCCGGAGAGGGGGAACGGCCACAUUGGGACUGAGACACGGCCCAGACUCCUACGGGAGGCAGCAGUGGGGAAUAUUGCACAAUGGGGGAAACCCUGAUGCAGCGACGCCGCGUGAAGGAAGAAGUAUCUCGGUAUGUAAACUUCUAUCAGCAGGGAAGAUAGUGACGGUACCUGACUAAGAAGCCCCGGCUAACUACGUG
This 478-nucleotide ribosomal RNA is filed under the name uncultured bacterium. RNAcentral describes it as "partial 16S ribosomal RNA". It matches the Rfam family "Bacterial small subunit ribosomal RNA", at positions 28 to 507 of the family's 1533-position model. The record is from RNAcentral.